RNAcentral lists this ribosomal RNA (443 nucleotides) under uncultured bacterium. RNAcentral describes it as "partial 16S ribosomal RNA". It matches the Rfam family "Bacterial small subunit ribosomal RNA", at positions 338 to 795 of the family's 1533-position model. The record is from RNAcentral.
CCUACGGGAGGCAGCAGUGGGGAAUAUUCGGCAAUGGGCGCAAGCCUGACCCAGCAACGCCGCGUGAAGGAAGAAGGCUUUCGGGUUGUAAACUUCUUUUCUCAGGGACGAAGCAAGUGACGGUACCUGAGGAAUAAGCCACGGCUAACUACGUGCCAGCCGCCGCGGAAAUACGUAGGUGGAAAGCGUUAUCCGGAUUUACUGGGAGUAAAGGGCGUGUAGGCGGGACUGCAAGUCUGAUGUGAAAACCAUGGGCUCAACCUAUGGCCUGCAUUUGAAACUGGAGUUCUUGAGUACUGUAGAGGCAGACGGAAUUCCUGGUGUAGCGGUGAAAUGCGUAGAUAUUAGGAGGAACACCAGUGGCGAAGGCGGUCUGCUGGACAGCAACUGACGCUGAGGCGCGAAAGCGUGGGGAGCAAACAGGAUUAGAUACCCCUGUAGUC